ACCGCGGUAGCUCAGUUGGUAAAGCAUCUGCCUGAUACGCGGAGAGUCGCCGGUUCUAUUCCGGCUCGCGGCG
RNAcentral lists this transfer RNA (73 nucleotides) under Fasciola hepatica (liver fluke). It matches the Rfam family "tRNA". From Rfam's summary of the family: Transfer RNA (tRNA) molecules are approximately 80 nucleotides in length. Lineage: Eukaryota; Metazoa; Platyhelminthes; Trematoda; Plagiorchiida; Fasciolidae. The record is from Rfam by way of RNAcentral.